This 468-nucleotide ribosomal RNA is filed under the name uncultured bacterium. Its description in RNAcentral is "partial 16S ribosomal RNA". It matches the Rfam family "Bacterial small subunit ribosomal RNA", at positions 28 to 507 of the family's 1533-position model. The record is from RNAcentral.
GACGAACGCUGGCGGCGUGCUUAACACAUGCAAGUCGAACGGAAAGGCCCUGCUUUUGUGGGGUGCUCGCGUGGCGCACGGGUGAGUAACCCGUGAGUAUCCUGCCCUUGACUUUGGGAUAUCUUCAGGCAACUGCGGCUACUACCGGCUAGGAGCUCCUGCUGCAUGGUGGGGGUUGGACCGUUUCGGCGGUUUGGGAUGGACUCGCGGCUUAUCAGCUUGUUGGUGGGGUAGUGGCUUACCAAGGCUUUGACGGGUAGCCGGCCUGAGAGGUUGACCGGCCACAAGGGGACUGAGAGACGGACCAGACGCGUACGGGAGGCAGCAGGCGAGAGUAUGGCACAAUGAGGGGGAGCGUGAGGCAGCAGCGCCGCGUGCGGGAUGACGGCCUUCGGGUUGGAAACCGCUGUCGGCUGUGACGAAGCGGGAUUGACGGUAAUGGGUAAAGAAGCACCGGCUAACUACGUG